Molecule: ribosomal RNA, 575 nt
Filed under: uncultured Psychrobacter sp.
Lineage: Bacteria; Pseudomonadati; Pseudomonadota; Gammaproteobacteria; Moraxellales; Moraxellaceae
Description: bacterial SSU rRNA
Rfam family: Bacterial small subunit ribosomal RNA
Source: RNAcentral
AUACCAGCUUGCUGGUAGGCGUCGAGCGGCGGACGGGUGAGUAACACUUAGGAAUCUACCUAGUAGUGGGGGAUAGCUCGGGGAAACUCGAAUUAAUACCGCAUACGACCUACGGGAGAAAGGGGGCAACUUGUUGCUCUCGCUAUUAGAUGAGCCUAAGUCGGAUUAGCUAGUUGGUGGGGUAAAGGCCUACCAAGGCGACGAUCUGUAGCUGGUCUGAGAGGAUGAUCAGCCACACCGGGACUGAGACACGGCCCGGACUCCUACGGGAGGCAGCAGUGGGGAAUAUUGGACAAUGGGGGCAACCCUGAUCCAGCCAUGCCGCGUGUGUGAAGAAGGCCUUUUGGUUGUAAAGCACUUUAAGCAGUGAAGAAGACCUAACGGUUAAUACCCGUUAGCGAUGACAUUAGCUGCAGAAUAAGCACCGGCUAACUCUGUGCCAGCAGCCGCGGUAAUACAGAGGGUGCAAGCGUUAAUCGGAAUUACUGGGCGUAAAGCGAGCGUAGGUGGCUUGAUAAGUCAGAUGUGAAAUCCCCGGGCUUAACCUGGGAACUGCAUCUGAUACUGUUAGGCUA